AUGUAUAUAUAUAUAUAUGAACUCCUGUUUGCAAGCAAUUACAGACUUACAGACGUUCCCAGGAGGGGGGACCCCAAGGGGACAUUGACCAUCUGGGCUAUAUCCCUUUUCUCAAGCAGGCAGGGGAUAUGCAGUGAGGAGGACACAUGGCCAAGGAAUCAAAGUGCAGGGAGGUGGGGAGAGAAGUCAAAACCCAGGGCAGUGGCGGAGUCUGACUCCAUGAGCUCUUGGAGUGGGCAAGGUGCUCAUAAAGGGAGGUCAUAUGCCCAACCCAUCCAUGUGCCUAGUGCUGGGGCUCGGUGUCUCAGCCAGGAGGGGGCACAGAGCCAGCCUCGUGUCUGCAGGCAGCUCCUGUUAAUUGCAUGCUGGGCAUUGGGCUUCACCAUCUAGAGUGAGGUCCCAGUUGAGCAGGCAACAAGGCACAGUCCAGGUCCUUGAAUGAGUUCACGGUUUAGGAAGGGAAGCCAAUCUUGUCAGGUCUGUUAAGAGGACAGAAAGAAGGAGGACCCCAGGAAUGCAUAGCAGGGGCGGCCCCGUGAGGGUCAGGAGGUCAGCGAGUGUUUCUCUGAGGAGAUGGUGUCUGGCGGGGUCUUGGAGUAGGAAUUGCCCAGACGAAGAUGGAGACGGGCAGGGUGCUCAGGCGGAGGCGGUGGGGAGCACAGCACACUGAGAGAUUCUUCUCAGUGGAUUGAGAUGAGUUGAGAAAUUCAUCGGGGCAAGGGAGGUCCUCCCUCCUCAUCACUUUGGUCCUGAAAUAGGGUCAUUUUCAGCAGAUCUCCUGAAUGGACACACUGAGCCUGCUACUGUCACUGCUUCUAAAGCAAAUUCCCCAGGGGCCAGGGGAGGACCUGUGUGGCACAGGCUUUCUGUGGUGGAGGCACUGUGGUCAGAGGCUGUGCUCUACUGCCUCAUCCCUGUAAGGUACCCGCAGCCCAGGGCAGGGCAUGUUAUGCUGACUCCUCCUCCUCAUUCCCCUGUCCCGCCUCCAGCCCAAGACCACAUUAAAGGACUUCCUACUUGGAUGCGGGCCCAGGUUGGAGCUCAUUAUAGCCCAGUGGCCAGGCCCUCCAUUUUCCCUUCCAGGUUAAGACUUGGCAGGCAUCAAAGGUUGCAGGAACACCCCACAGGCCUUUUCCCUUAAUCGUCUCACUCCUGCCCUGUCUGCGUGGCCUCCUUAGCUGAGCUUUUCCCACCAGAGCCUCUGGUGACUUUCCACAAGUUUCCCUUCAUUCCAGCAAGCAGAUUCAGUGACUAAUUGCUGGUAAUUUUUUUCCUCAAGACUCUAUUUAUAUAGGCUGUCGUGUUGGGGGCGGGGGAAAGCGGGCUGUAGUCCUGGGAGGACGGCUGCUGUUCCCUGCAACUGCCAUCAUUAGACUGAGGCCUGUGUGGCAUUGAUGUCCACACUUUGUCUUUAUUCUUGUAUUUUUUUGUCAUUGCGACAUUUGGUUCUUUGAACAUCUAACGUCUCUUUUAUGCUUCUCAUCUCCCACAGAAGAUUGUUGUAUUUUGUCCCCCACUGAAGCUGCAUUUUCUUUUUGUCAGAUUUCUCACUUUCUUCUUUAUUGUAUUUUGAUCAGUGCAGCCAUGUAGGUCUGGGUUUUAUGGGAGCUUUUCAUCUUUGGGCCAGUGGCCCUCACGGCCUGGGUCUUUUGGCCAAUGCUGGGCCUUGCCUCAGGCCCCUGAAGCAGGACUUUCCCACCAGGGUGACAGAGACCCAGCUUGUUAUCUGUCCAGGGAUACUGUAGUCUAGUGGUUGUCAAAAUUAAGCAUGCCUCAGAAGCACCUGGAAGCCUUGUUAAAACGCAGAUGGCCAGGCCCCCCUCUAAUGGUUCUGAUUGAGUGAGUCUGGGGUGAGGCCUGAGAAUUUGCAUUUCUAACUAGCUCCCAGAUACUGCUGAUGCUGCUGGCCCAGAGAUCAGACUUGGAAAACCACUGCUUUAGAGUAAUUCCUCCUUGACCUUCAGCCAGAGUUUCCGGGGCCCAAGCAAGGAAAAAACAGCAGGGCACCAGGAGAGCCAGGCGGCUGGGUCGUCCACUCCUUAGGAGCUGCUGUGGUCCCUAUCCUUUCACUGCCCAGCCCUGGGUGGUGGUCCUUGGAAGAUUAGUUUGGAGGGAAGCUAAGUUAAGUCUGCCAUUUUAGUGGUUUAUUCUUUCUGCCUUGCCCACACCUUCUGACUCAGGACAUUUACAGCAGUAAUGGGGGUUUGAGUAGAAGGUUAGUCUUGAUCAUGCUAACGAUAUUGAACCUGUUGAAAAUUACAUAUCAGGUACUGUUACGUUUGGUAUCUCAUUUAAUCCUCACAACAGCCUCAUGAAGUAACCUUCAUUUUACAGAUGAGGAAGCUGGGUCUCAGAUAGGUUAAUUGACCUGUCUCAAGUUUGUAUAGAAAGAAGUCCAGGAUUCAAAGUCAAAUCUGUGCGGCUCCAGAGCCCUUGGUCUUUGCUAUGCUGCUGUAACGGUUCCCUCUGGAGAACUGUUAUCCCCCUCCAUGGGUGUCUUGCUUUGGCCUGUUCCCUGGAUCCCCUGCCUCUCAGCUCAAGGUCCAGGUUCCCGGACCAUGAAAGUGCUUUGUUCACCUUUGUGUCUUCCGUAGAACUUAACACAAAGCCUUAUACAGAGUGACCAUAUGUUCUGUUUAUGCCUCUUGUCCCAGUGCAGUAAUUAAUUGUGCCCCUUUCACUCUUAGAAGUGUCCCAGUUUGAACAAUAAAUUGUGUGGUCACCCUACUUAUGCACGGCCCUCCCAACCCAGGGACAAUGGCAUGUUAAUAGAGGACCCUGAAAGAAUUGUCUUUAAGGCUCAAGUAAAUCCCAGAUGGUGAAAUUUUCAGGGUUUACAUCACAGUAGGCAAGAGAAUUUAGACAAAGAUUCUGCUCAGCACCCCACAAACCUACCACAAAGGACUAUUUCUAACACCUGACUUGAGGCUUAUGGGGAUCAUCAGGCCUGUGAUGAGAUUUGUAGAGGCAGGAGGACAAGCAAGGCAGGAAAAGGGCAGGGAGAGCAAAAAGCUGUAGCUUCCCCACCUUCCCAGGUGGGAAGGAGCCCCUACCUAGCAUUUGAUUGUUCCCAAGCCCCUAGCCUCCCUUCAGGAAAGAGCUAAUGGGGAUUGGCCCUCUUCCCAGUGUCACCCUCAGCCCUUGGGCCCUGGGCUCAGCUUCCCCACACUUUCUUGUUGGGGCCGCAUUCCCUCAGGCCCUGCCCUUGUACCCUGGACAUCGGUCCAUACUCAGCCAUGGUGUGUGCCAGUCACAUUCCAGGCUGUGUCCUUGCACCAUUUGCAGGCAGCUGAAAACUGCUGUGCAUAUGUCAGUUCACACUUGAACUGGUUUAAUGUUUUUUUCUUUUAAGUUGCAAUCUAAAAUUCAGCCAGACAGGCUUUAACGAGCACUAAAUCGUCAAGCCUUUUGUUUCCCUUGCUAUUCAAGCCAUAGAGAUUUUGUGUUUGAUUCAGCAACAAUUGCUGAAUCUUAAACAAACCAUUUACAUUUUGACAUUAACUAUUUUAUGAGUGUAACUUUUUCUUUGGCAUUAGAAUGAUUCCAGCAGAAGGCCUUUUAAUGAUUUAUCAGAAACAGAGUUAAAAGGCUCUGUGGAAGGUGAUUCUUAACAUUUUCUUUUGGGGAAAAAAAGUAGGUUUUUAUCUGCCUUCAGUUGGGCAGUACAUACAGAAUUUUAGCCUCUCUCCUCUAUUUUAAUAACUUUUGAUCUUGUCAAGGUCAUUCCUCCAGCAUGCCCUCCCACUCAGCACCUCCAUUUUUCAGACAACCUUCAUGCCCAGUAGCUUCUCUCAGAGUAGUUCUUUGCACAUCUCUUUCGGCUGUUAAUUUUAUCUGAUAGAAGCAGGAACUAUGUUCGUUCUUUGCUCUAGCCCUGGUAUUCUUAGCUGAGGCCCCUGUGCACACUAGGCAUGAUCAGUAUUUGUCAACCAGCUGACUGGACAAAGAGCCUCAGACAAACAGCAUGUUCGCAAACGAAGCCAUUCAUCGUCUGUCCCUGGAAGCUGUAAGUAAUUGGAACUUUUCCUCAGUUCUUAAAGAUUUCCACAGAAUGAGAAGUCUCCACUUUCCUUUAGGUUCUCAUUCCAGCCUCUGGUGAGUCAGGUCAAAGGGCCUUGAGCAAGAUCAGGCCUCCCAGUGUUGUUCCUGCAUCAGGGGAGGCUCUGUAUCUUUCUCAGCCUCCAGUGAGACCUGGUGAACCCUGCAUCUGGCUGGGGAGUCAGCCGAUCCACCCAGUUUUCUUCUCUGUUACAAUGUGAGCCAGGUGGCCAGGUGCAGGAAACUCAUGCUAGCGGGGGCCUGAGACUCCAUGUGAAAUGGAGCUGGCUGAGGAGGCCAUGUUGAUCUGCCCCCACGGAAAACCGGGAGCCUGGGUGCUGCACUUGCCUCUUAGGACUAGAACUAAUUGUUCUUAAAGAUCUUUCCAAAUACCAAUGAUGCAAAAUAUUUGGAUGGUUCACCAUAUUGUUCACCAUAUUUAAACUGUCAGAACCUUAAAUAUCUGAGCAAAACCUCAGCAAACAAAGGAUAUUUUGGGGACUUGUUAUGUAUGUUGCACAGCAGAGAGAUUUGUAGUCUAUACGACUUCCAAAUGCUGUAAACGAAGUAUUUCAGUGUUGUCAUUUUCAGCUAUAGACCGUCCUACGAUCAUUGCCUUUUCUUUCGCUAUUAAGAGAUGGCUCAUUCAUAAACAUUUCUACAGUUGUGUGGCAAACACAAAAUAGGCCCUGCGUGAUUCCAUUGGCUCUGACUGAGGAGAUGAUUUUUCACACAGUGAGAUUUAUCACGUUUAUCAAAUUUAUGACAGAACACAGAGAGGAUGAGGGGAUGUGGAGGUUGGAGGGAGAGCAGAUCUGAGUGAGUGAGGAAGGAAGCGCUUUCCCGAGCCUCAAAGGGCCUGUUGACAAGGUGUGUUGCCUAUAAGCUUGGAGUCAGGAUAGUCUGGGCCAUUUCCUCGGAUCCCUUCUUGCCCUGUGGGGUCUGGCCUCCUCCACUCUCACCCAGCCACCAGACCUGUAGGGAUAGUUAUACCACCAGCUGUUAUAGAAGACCUAAAAUAACAUCCUCUGUGUUCUCUAAUAAAGUUGAUAAAUCUCAGCUUGUGAAAAAAAUCUCCCAUAUGUUUUGUCUAAAUUUUCUUCUGCUUAACCUUGUUACUCCUGCCUUGCCUCCCUCAGACUGCCUGAGACAAUUACUCAGGGACAUUGUUUGAAUAAUUAGAGGCUGCAGAUAAUUCUCUUUAGCCUGCUUUCUUCCCUGUUCCCUACCCUGUGGUCUCCCUUUAGCCAGUUCUAAUUAGCUACUUUGAUCCUUCCUCCCAAUCUCUCCCUCUAGCUUGUUAAUUACAUUUCUCCCCCAUGAAUUCCUUCUAUACUGGCUUUGUCUAUCCAGUCGGAGGAGCUGAAAAUGAGAAUCUAAGGCCACUCAGUGGGAGGUCUUCUUUGUCCCUCAACACAGAUAGCUCCUCUUCCUUCUGAGAAGGAGGCAUUCUGUCUUAGCAGAAAAGUAAAAAUAAUAAUUUCUGUCAAGUGGUAUAUUAUGAUAAAAACAGCUGUUAUCCUAAUGCUUGGCAUUUGCCAGGAAGAGUGUGUGUGUGUGUGUGUGUGUGUGUGUGUGUAUGUGUGUGUUUACAUAUAUAAAAUCACAUUUCAUCCCCACAACAAUCCUAUGAGAUAAAUAUUAUUGUUAUACAUCCCUGUUUUACAAAAUCAGAAACUGAGGUCCAGAGAGGCUUAGUAACUUAGUCACACAGCUGAGAACACUGGAAUCUCGAACUUGCACCUAGGUCUCUCUGACUCCAGAGUAGCACUUAGUUUUCUGCUUUCUCGGUUUGGGCUUUUGGUGGGAAAAAAAAAAAAAAAGUCCAGGUCAUUGGCUUUUAAGCCCACCAAAAAACCGGCCAACCAACUCUGAGGUGAUUGUCAGCUUUUUACCCUCAGUGUAGAAGAGGCUUUCUGAAUUGAAAUUAUAAAACUGGCACAGAAGCAAACUGACAUAGUGUACGGGAUAUCUGGGCAGUUGGAAAUCUGCUUCUAGAAAAUAAAAAGGAACCAAUAAAUUCUUUACUUGCUUUAAUUCUUAAUUUUCUUUUCUGACCGGUUUCUCUCUCAGGAGGUUAAGGAAGCAAUAAGAAGGGCCUCACUGAAAUUAUAUUCUGAGCAACAAGAAGGAUUUGUCUGGUAAAAAAAAAAAAAAGUUUUGGAAACCUCAGCAGAAAGUGACUGUGUUUGGAGAAG
Sapajus apella (tufted capuchin) is the source of this 6236-nucleotide long non-coding RNA. RefSeq lists it as uncharacterized. NCBI's taxonomy places the organism in Eukaryota, Metazoa, Chordata, Mammalia, Primates, Cebidae. The record is from RefSeq and is a predicted model, not a curated record. The transcript is spliced from 2 exons.